This is a long non-coding RNA of Pseudopipra pipra, 708 nucleotides long. RefSeq lists it as uncharacterized. The record is from RefSeq and is a predicted model, not a curated record. NCBI's taxonomy places the organism in Eukaryota, Metazoa, Chordata, Aves, Passeriformes, Pipridae. The transcript has 3 exons.
UUCUGUUAAUACUUAUUGUAAAAAAGUUCAUUGUAAAAAAAUGCUCUCUCUUAUAUUCUGGUCUGGUUGCAAAAAAAAGAAUGCAGAAUUAUGCUAAGAGGAACAGUGAGGGAGCUGAAAACUGGCAGAGGAGAACAGCAAAUUUUACUGCCAGCUGCAACCUCCAUCAGCAUAUUUGUUCUGUGUGUUACUGGUGACUCCGGGCAUGAUUCAACUCAUACAGCUCAGGUGCUUUUAAACCUGAAAGGAAAUUAUAACCACGUCCUGACACUCCAAACUGUGACUGAAUCUACUUCCAUAGAGCACAAAUGACAGCAUUUAAAACCUGGGCUCGCUCAAGUUUGUCACCACACACCCAGUCACUGACCUGUUCCCUGACGUCAGAGUCGUUUGCUCCACGGACACCCCGGAUCCCACACACAGGAACAGCAGCAAGAACCUCAGGGCAGCGUUUCGUUCCAUUGGGAAGGGAGGCAGUGGCUCCACACGCAGCACAUCUGCGGCUUUGGUCCAGCUCUGCCGCGUGAUGGGGGAGGAUCCACCACCGGAGAAAUCCUCCGUGUGCUGGGAUUUCUCCCCAAGGCAAACACCUGGCACGUUCCAGCUGCCCUAUGAAUGAAUGAGCACACAACCCGGGGAAAGUGCGCCGGGACUGAGCUGCUUGUUAAGAAAAAAAAAGAAUACAAUCAGAUGGGCUCUGAAAUCACA